UACGGAGGGGGCGAGCGUUAUUCGGAAUUAUUGGGCGUAAAGGGCGCGUAGGCGGCCCGGUAAGUCAAAGGUGAAAUCCCUCGGCUCAACUGAGGAACUGCCUUUGAAACUGUCGGGCUUGAGGCCGGGAGGGGGUAGCGGAAUUCCCAGUGUAGCGGUGAAAUGCGUAGAUAUUGGGAGGAACACCAGUGGCGAAGGCGGCUACCUGGACCGGUUCUGACACUGAUGCGCGAAAGCGUGGGUAGCAAACAGG
This 253-nucleotide ribosomal RNA is filed under the name uncultured bacterium. RNAcentral's name for it is "partial 16S ribosomal RNA". It matches the Rfam family "Bacterial small subunit ribosomal RNA", at positions 524 to 776 of the family's 1533-position model. The record is from RNAcentral.